AACUGAAGGAUGGAAAGAUGGGGAUGCUGGCAGCGAGCUCAGUUGCACAGGGACAGCGAGGAACCCACGUAAAAAAGCCAAAAAAAGGGGAAAAUCCUCUCGGAGAAGGCGGCGGUGAAGGUGAAGAUGGGAGCCAUGCUGUCGGCGUUGUAGAACGCCACCCACCCGCCCUCGUAGUCCAGGAGAGGUGAACGCCUGGUACUGAUCCCAAUUGAAGAUUUUGAGGGGAAAAAACUCCAAACUUUGAACAG
Molecule: non-coding RNA, 251 nt
Organism: Taeniopygia guttata (zebra finch)
Lineage: Eukaryota; Metazoa; Chordata; Aves; Passeriformes; Estrildidae
Source: RefSeq, a predicted model, not a curated record